RNAcentral lists this ribosomal RNA (495 nucleotides) under uncultured bacterium. RNAcentral describes it as "partial 16S ribosomal RNA". It matches the Rfam family "Bacterial small subunit ribosomal RNA", at positions 30 to 507 of the family's 1533-position model. The record is from RNAcentral.
UGACCGCUGGCGGCGUGCCUAAUACAUGCACGUCGAGCGAACGGACGCGAAGCUUGCUUCUCUGCUGUUAGCGGCGGACGGGUGAGUAACACGUGGAUAACCUACCUAUAAGACUGGGAUAACUUCGGGAAACCGGAGCUAAUACCGGAUAAUAUUUUGAACCGCAUGGUUCAAAAGUGAAAGACGGUCUUGCUGUCACUUAUAGAUGGAUCCGCGCUGCAUUAGCUAGUUGGUAAGGUAACGGCUUACCAAGGCAACGAUGCAUAGCCGACCUGAGAGGGUGAUCGGCCACACUGGAACUGAGACACGGUCCAGACUCCUACGGGAGGCAGCAGUAGGGAAUCUUCCGCAAUGGGCGAAAGCCUGACGGAGCAACGCCGCGUGAGUGAUGAAGGUCUUCGGAUCGUAAAACUCUGUUAUUAGGGAAGAACAUAUGUGUAAGUAACUGUGCACAUCUUGACGGUACCUAAUCAGAAAGCCACGGCUAACUACGUG